GAUGAACGCUGGCGGCGUGCCUAAUACAUGCAAGUCGAGCGAACAGACGAGGAGCUUGCUCCUUCGACGUUAGCGGCGGACGGGUGAGUAACACGUAGGGAACCUACCUAUAAGACUGGGAUAACUUCGGGAAACCGGAGCUAAUACCGGAUAAUAUUUCGAACCGCAUGGUUCGAUAGUGAAAGAUGGCUUUGCUAUCACUUAUAGAUGGACCUGCGCCGUAUUAGCUAGUUGGUAAGGUAACGGCUUACCAAGGCAACGAUACUUAGCCGACCUGAGAGGGUGAUCGGCCACACUGGAACUGAGACACGGUCCAGACUCCUACGGGAGGCAGCAGUAGGGAAUCUUCCGCAAUGGGCGAAAGCCUGACGGAGCAACGCCGCGUGAGUGAUGAAGGUCUUCGGAUCGUAAAACUCUGUUAUUAGGGAAGAACAAACGUGUAAGUAACUGUGCACGUCUUGACGGUACCUAAUCAGAAAGCCACGGCUAACUACGUG
Molecule: ribosomal RNA, 497 nt
Filed under: uncultured bacterium
Lineage: Bacteria
Description: partial 16S ribosomal RNA
Rfam family: Bacterial small subunit ribosomal RNA
Source: RNAcentral